This 488-nucleotide long non-coding RNA is filed under the name Gadus morhua (Atlantic cod). RNAcentral's name for it is "lncRNA (ENSGMOG00000033666.1)". Lineage: Eukaryota; Metazoa; Chordata; Actinopteri; Gadiformes; Gadidae. The record is from RNAcentral.
ACUGCCGGUGCGAAAGCGCCUAAAGCCUGGUUCUCGCUACUCAGUUUAUACAAUGAAGAAUAUCUUACUUUAAUCAGCAGAAAGAUAUAAUGAGGCAACGUAUGAAACUAAGAAUACAAGUAUCCUAAAAAAUAUGUGAGGAGAACUUGAAUAAAUACCACUAAUUAUUUUACAUCUAUAAUAUUUCAGACAUUUGAUUUGUUUUAACAUCCAAUGUAGAGUUUUAAAAGUUAAAAAUAAAUGUGAUGCUGCUUAAAGAUAUAAUUAGCUUGACUUAAACUGUACUGUAUAAUGUGAACAUUUACAAGUACUUCAUACAUUUCACUUGAAUUUACAUCUGUUAUUAUUGCUCUUUCUUUGUAGGCUCAAGUGGAAGGCGAAUGCUGCUGUUCUUCCUUGAGCUUAAAGACAUCGGACUACAGAGUGCUGCUCCGGACACUGCAGCAUUUUCAAGAUCAGUCAUCAAAAAGCUGCUAUUUUUUCGGUCU